RNA transcript from Felis catus (domestic cat), 9242 nucleotides. It is a transcript of the gene named translation initiation factor IF-2-like, with no coding region annotated. Lineage: Eukaryota; Metazoa; Chordata; Mammalia; Carnivora; Felidae. The record is from RefSeq and is a predicted model, not a curated record. The transcript has 8 exons.
CGCAAAAAUAAAAUAAGCCCUAAAAAAUUAAAAACAAAAUUAGAAACUAAUGUUUCUCUGUAUAUGUGCUGCCAAAGUGAGCAUAAUGUUUCCCUACAUGAAUAAAUCUACCCAAUCUCCUGACUCAAUCCUGUAGUAGAGAGUUGUCUACUUCAGUAUUUGUUCUGUAUGUUUCCCUUAAUAAAAGAACUCUUGCCGGUUAACUCAUGCCUACCUGAAAUAAAUACUAUUGCUUACCUCCCUGAUUCUUAAAGCUGGUCUUUUUUUAUGUGAUAAAGUUCUGGAAAAGUAAGUUGUAAGUAAAAUAUUUUGUGACAUCCCUCAAGAAACCUCCUUAAAAAAUUGCUUGAAUGGGUUUUUUGUCCUUCCAUCCUACCCUCCAUCUGUCCUCCUUUCUGAAAUGAAGACAGCCCUCCUCGGGAUGGAGGUUUGAAGGAGAUGCUGUAUCAGCCUUGAAUUGCUUAUCUCUGGAUUUCAUGAGAGAGAAAGAAAUACUUCAAAAAAAUAUUAAAACCUUUGUUAUUUCACUUUGUGUGUGUGUGUGUGUGUGUUGUGUGUGUGUGACACAAUCCUUGACCCAAGCUUACAUAAUACAGAUCCUUUGCCAAGAUUAGCAUACAGUAUAAACAAAAAGAAAACUUCAAUACGGAAGAGCAGUUUUAAGUAGCAUACAGGUACUCUUGAGAUCCCCGUGAAAAAGUUCCAAAAAAGCAUGUCAAAACCAAGAAAGCAUGAGACUACAUCCAACUUCUAUUAAAUUGGGAUCAUUCAUCUUACAUCUUAUAUGCAGCUAAAUUUUAAUGAUUCAGUGAGAGACCUUCAAGAAAUCUCUACAAUGCCUCGAUGUCAAAGAGAAUACAAAAUGAGAAUGACAAAUGAUCUUGAAUGUGUUGUGACUGGUAGGGUGAUCUACACAAUAACAUUUUAUCACUGGAGUUCAAUGGUAAAUGAUUUGACCGAUGAAGAAAGCAAGAAUAAUUCAAACCAGAAGAUACCCUUUGAGGAUUGGUUGCUUUUCAGUUAUCUCCACUAACAAAAUUUUCUGAACAAGUUCCCCAAAUAUUAGGUUUAUGAAGUAAGUUCAAUGAAGAUCAAAUGCGUAUAAUAAAAUAAUAGUAAUAUCGAUAAUAACGGUUAUUUAUAAAUAUAAAUAUAUUUGACUUUCAUUUAGGAAAACAGCAAUCUGAUUGAAGAUUCCCUAAACUAUAUUCCAUGAUAUGUUCUAUACAGUGUGUGGAUUCCAAAUAUCAUUUAUCCGAUUAGCUACCAAUAUAGACUUGGGAUAGCACAACAUAAGGUACUGUCAGUCAAUGCCUAAAUGCAACAAUUCAUAGUUACAGAAGGUCCUAGAACCUUUUUCUUGCAAAUGCAGAAAAUGUUUCAUUUCAUUGUUUAUAAAACAGCAACAUCUCAAAAAGUGGUAUUGAUCCACAAUUAAAUCAGCUUAUUUUCCAGUCAUGCCCUUGAGGUGUUUGAUUUAGUUCUAGCAUUAUGCCUGCAAUUCUAAAUGGCCGCCGCUAGAUAGCAACAUUCAUUAUUUCAUUCAUGAAAUCGGUUCUGAGCAUCUAAUGUGUGGUAGCCACUCUUCUGGGUGCUGAGAUAAAAUCUAAAUGAUACAAAAAAAAUUUGAAUGAUAUAUGGUGCCUGCCUUCAAGAAUUUUAGACCCUAUCUGUAGGCAUACAAGAUGAAGACAAGAAAAUAAUUAAAGGAUUUGAUCAGACUCAGCAAAAGAGAACUGUUGUUGGUGUUUUUUAAACAGUAUAAAUGUCAUAGGCUAAAGACAGCAGCAAUGAUUUCUUAAUACUUCUCAGUAGCAUAUAAAAGUUUUUGAUCUGUAGGGUACCGUUGUGAAAUAGAAACGGACCCACUUGUUUUGCAAGUGAGAAAACCAAAUCUGUGAGAGGUGAAGAUAAAGAUCUUCUAGCCAGUUUCAUGGUAAAGAAUAGAGCUCAGUGGUCCUAAUUCCCCCUACAGAGCUGGUUAUAUUCCAGUGGACUGCCUGCUCUCAUGGUCUCAUCCAUUCAGCAAAAGUUUACGGAGUCCCUUCACUCUACUAAUAAGCACUAGGCAUAUAAAGAUGAAUAGUCUCGAAGGAAAGCAGAGAAGGAGAGGAGAAAGGAUUCCUGGAAUGUGUGGGAAAUUGAAGCUCUAAGACCUGAUGACUGAUUGAAUUGGAGAGUAAGCAAGAGGCCAGAGUGCAGAAUGUCUUCGGGGUCAUGGCCCCUUGCUGCAUGAAAUGCAGUUCAUAAAAAUGUGUUGAAAUGAAGGCUAUAUGAGAUAUGCCAUCAUAAGCUAGAUUUAAAUGGAUACAGCUACUGCACAUAGGUUUCCCUACGUCCACAUAAGUUUGUCUUUCAAACCUAAAAAAUUUCCAAUUGCUUGUAGAUAUAAUACUCUCAUUUAUAGUGCGUUGGCACAGUUCACCGUUUUGAAGUAACCUUUGCUGAAACUUCAUACUGAGCUAAUUACCUUAACUUGCUUAUGAUAAUUACUUUAGGCAGGACUAUCUUUUUCUUUCGGUACUUUUUUGAAGUCAUAUUUUGAGUGGGGAAAAAAAAAUCACAAAUCAGUUUCUUAACAGUGACUAUGGGGAUUUCUACUGAAAAUGUAUUUGUUGAGAUUUAAGUCCUGAGAGCAUCUAAGAUGUAAGAGAGUGAAUCUGAAUAUGAAAAUUCAGAGCCCUCAGAGUAAUCUGUUUUCCUUUUCAUUGACUCCAGCCUGGAGAGAGGCUCACACAGUUAUGGACCUGGCAGAAUAACAGCUGCCCUCCAGGCACAGACUUCUAAAAAUUUAAUAAGGUUCCCAUAGGACUUGGGUGGAUGUUGGAGGUUGUAAACCUUUCCAAAUUAACUGCUGAAGCUGGUAACAGACCUUGAUAUUGUAAUGGGUCGUUGGUAGCGAGCUCAUGUGCUGCCUAACCUGGUGUUUCCUCAUGUGGUUUUACCAAUGGCUAGACUAUACAUUAUACGUUGGCCUUCCCACCCAAACAACUGUGAUCUUCUUCCUGGACCUUAGCAAGUCCCCAUCCUCAGCUGAGACAAGCCUGUAAUUGAUCACUGUCUGCUGGGGCCAUCUUGUGUUUUAAGCUUGUCAAUGAUUUGCUCAGUUCUGACCUUUAAUAUCGGCCAACAACUCUCAUGAGCCUGGGACUGCCCAGACCCAAGAGGUGCUGUUGGAUCACACCUCUCUGAACGUCUUGCUCACAACCUCAGCUGUGCCAGCCUGAUGUGGUUGAUCGGAAGUGUUACACUUUGGCUUCUUUGUAGGAUCUAGCCUCAGGCUCAUUUUAAUGACUCUUAAAGUCAUUCACAAUCAAUACAUCCUUAUCAUAGUAUCAACAUCAUUCUUUUUCACCGUAGGUGGUUGCCUCUACAAAGCUUCAAACAAUUUCUGAGCUUUAUGGCUUACAAUUAGCCAUGAGAGAAAAACUGAUUUCAACGAUGUGUCAUUCCAGUAGUUACACUUCCAGUGAAGGAAUGAGAUUGGCCUAGCUGGAGUUGGGGACCCACCUCUAGAUCAACUCACUUGCCCACAGCCAGGAAUAUCACAAUUGGCCCAGCUUGGGUCAGAUGCUUGUCCCCAGACCUACAAUAUAUAACCAAUGAGGAAAGACGUGGGGGAAAUAGAGACGGUCAAUUCAGGAAGAAAGGAAAAGUUUUGGCAUACCAUGACACAGACUGUCACACACACUAUAACUUUGUGUAGUUGACAUGAUUAGGAUUCCAGGUCCAAGUUUGAAUUUAUGAGCAUGGGCUACAAUGAUAGAGAAUGAAAAAGACAAAUGCCCUCAAAUCCUGGUUUUGUCUGUCCUUCACCCAAAUAUAUUAAAGGUGCCACAAAGUCAAAAAGGUAGCUUCAGGCAGGUUUGCACGUGUAGAACUAUGAGGAUUUCUAGUGGCCAUCUAUUCUAGCUGACUUUAUUUAAAAAAAAAAAUUUAAUCUCAAGGUUGGAGAGAAUCAUGAAUUAUGCAAUAUCAAACACUUCUUAGUAUCUCUUCUAGCUUAGACACGAUGUUGAAGGUUCAAGAAACACAAAGACUGACGAAGACACAGACACACAUGCAUAUAGUCAUGCAUGGCAUUAGGUGCAAAUGGGGAAGCCUAGUCCAGGUUCUAUGAGAGCAGCCAGUGCCGAUUCCAAAUGUGUUAGUGUAUGUGCUAGCAUGUGUGGGUAGAGAUUGGGUACGUGUGAGAGUGUGAGUGAAAGAGGGUGCAGUGUCUAAGUGGUUGGGGGGUGUUUGAGGAUGGAUUCCUGAAGGAGGUAAACCCCUUCUGAUUACUAAAAGAUUAGGACUUAAUCAAAGGGAAUUGAGGAGAUUAGAGCAGAAGCACACUCAAGAUCAAAAGAACAACAUAUAAAUGCCAUAGGAAUGUAGUGUAUCAUGAUAUGUUAAAGGGAUUAUGAAAAGUCAAGGGCUGCUGGACUAGGAAAGAGGCAAAUCUCUUGAAGAGUAAGCCAUGAUUUAGGGAGCAGAUUGGGAGAAUCUUCAUUGACACUGCCGAGAUCUUGGUUUUUUAUUGUAAUUUAUGGAAAACAAGUGAAAAUCUGUAAGCACAGGCCAGUCAAAGAGUAAUAUGGAGUGGAGUGGAGUUGAUGGGUACCAGGCUGUGUCCAGGCAGUCCUAUUACAAGAUCUUUGUAAUUAUCUGGGAAAAAGAUGUCAAGAGAGUGAACCUGACCACAGUAGUAGGAUAUGGAGGAAGGCAGACAGGAGGGAGUUCAACAACAACAUAGAAAGUAGAAUUAGCAGUGCCUUAAAGACAUCAAGUUCAAACUCUGAAAGGAUUAUCAUAAUUCUGUGUUAUCCACCAGUCAUCCAAAGCUGUCGGACAUUCCCAGGACUUAGAAGUCAUUGAAUCUGGAGGCACCUUAUUUCACUGUGCAACACUACCCUGUAAAUGUGUGACACUUCAGUGGGAUUUAGUUCACCAGAAAUCUUAUCUCUCCCAAAGAAGAGACCUGUCACAGGGAAGAAGGGAAGGGUCCAGCCCAGAAGGUGCCAUACCAAGCACAGGAGAUAAAUUUUCCUGGUCUGUGUUUAAUCAAGUGUGUUUUCCAAAGAUGAAUAUGUUUAUAAAAGGCAUAUCUGCUCCGUAAUAUUGUAUUACUUAAAUUUUGAACAUAACGAGCAUGCAUGGAUAGAAGGUUUGCUUUAUUUGUAUAAUCAACGAGCUCUUAACCAUCCUUCUUUGAAACAACUAUCUUUAAACCUCUGUAAAAUGUGUAUUAAAAAUAAUAAUCUUUGAGUUUUUCUUAGAUUGCUUCAUGGAAUCUGAUCUUCUGAUCCAGGUCUUUGUACAGUUAGAAUCUAACUGGAUCAGAUGAUGCCAGAGGUCCCCUCCAGCUCCCUACCACCACAAUCAGUUAGCAGAAAUUCCACUUUAAUCACACAGCGGCUGCAGGUCAAAAAAAGGAAAGCAAACCAGAGGUGGAAAUCUCAGCCUAAUGAACACUGAGAAAAGAUUAGAAGAGGGUUAAAUUUCGGUGUGAUAAUUAAUUACACUCCAACAAGAACAGAAUUUUAUGAAUGUUGGCUAAUUGUAAUUCAAGCUAUAUUCAUUCACACAAAUCUCUUUCCCAACAUCACCUCCAAUUCUGAGGUGGAAAGAGACUAUCUCUUUUCAGUAUUUCUUAUCUCAUUUAUAGUUAAUACAAACAACAGUCUCAAGUCUGUGGAGAUGUAAUUAAUUAUCAAGGUAGUAUUACAUAUCUUACAUAAGUAAUUAUAACUGCAUGUACUCAUUCAUAUUAUCUAAUCAGCUCUUAACUAAUUACUCCUACUUUGGAUGUAGUUUUAUCUUAAGGAUCUUGACAAAAAAUGGUUACACCAUGACACAACAGAAUAGAAGAUGUCUUACAUGCUAUUUUUUAAUAAAGAGAAUAAAAGAUUCCAAAAUCAAGUGGAUUCUGCGCAUUUUUAAGAGUAUUACAAUGCGAUUGAACAUUUCACUGUAUUCUUUGACAUUCCAAUAGGCCAAGGGGCUACUCAUUCCUAGAGCCAUGCCACCUACAGGGAAGGAAUUAUGCCUGGUUUGAACCAUCUGAGUGAACCAUCUUUCUGCAUGUCUCAGAAGUCAGGCAAACUUCAUCCUAUCCCAUCUAUUAGGAAAAACUAAAGGCAGGAGGAGUGGCCUGAGAAAUAACAAUUCUACCAGCGAGAAGAAAACUAGCCAAUGUAAACUGUGCAGCCUGGCAGAAUACCUAUACUUACUCAAGUAACUUCUAUUGCCUGUGUGGACAGGCAGAAUAGCAAAUUACAGUGUAAGUCAUUACUGUAGAUUAAAGAUUCUUCUUUAACAGUUCUUCUGACAAAUUAAUGCUGAUUGGACAGAAAGAAGCAGAUCCAAUAAAGAGCAACACAGCCACAGGAGAUUAAGGAAAUAAUAAUCUUUCGUUCCGCAGAGGCACCUAAGGCAGGCAGUUGCCGCAGGAAUAGUAACAGCCACGUGCUCCUCUCCAUUUCUCAUCUUCUCCUGCAGUUUGGAGGGGAGGGACUGUGUGAAUAAUUCUUCCCGACAGAAUCUUAAAGGGAACGAUGCAUCACUUCCUGUCAAGUAACUGCCAGGGAUCCCGUUGCCUGGAGACCACUCUUGAACAUCCAUUGCUGUGGCCUCUUGGAGAUUUAAGGCAUCUAAUAAGGAGCUGACAGAAACCAUCAGCUUGCUCCUGAGAAAGUAGCAUUUUUUUUAAAUCACCAUAAAGCACUUGUCUGGAUAUUACGUAUUUCAGUCAUUGGCCCACAUAACUCUACGGUGACGAACAAAAGAAAUGGAUCGAAUAAAGCCAGCUGCAAAUAGAUACCCACGGCCACGUGCUGGAAUGCAGAUAGCCUAUCAACAAUGAGAUAAAGCUUUCUGAAAUAGAAGGCCACUGAACCAAGAUUUCUGACACAUGUCCAAGUGCUGGCUUUUAAAAUGGAGCGUAACAGAAAGCACAUUCUUCCCAGUCACUGGAAUUCUUUCAAAGAAGCAGUUGUAUGAAAUGGAAGACGACGGUAUAUUGAAGCAAACUGGAUAGAGGAUAAGGAUUGUCAGUGUUCCUCUCACGUGGCCCUUGAAGUCUUGGCCGACAAGAUCAUGAAUCUUGGUGUCACAGCACCUAUGCUGACUGCACACAGCUUGCUGAAGAUGUUGGUGCCACUCUCUGAGCAUUUGGGAAGGCAAUGCUGAGACGUGUCUGGUCCUACAUCUGCAAUCGUCUGAGAUCCAGACUUAGACACCCAGCAUGGUUGUCUAGGACACUAGUUUUUGAAGCUAUUGUUUUAAUCUCAUUAUGAAAAGAAGAAAUUAUGCUACUUUACUCCUUGUACAUCCGUGUUUUACGAGGCUCUCAGACUAUUAUCCUCCUAAAGUUCAGCCUGCUGACAUACCAACAAAUGGUAGGAUUUAGAUUUACACCAGCUUAAGAAUGGGAAAGGGCUCAGGAUCAUGUCUCACUCUGAGUUCAAAAAUUAGGCAGUAAUUUACAUUCUUGAAGUAUCAUUGAAAUCCUUGCAACAGAUGUCUUUUCUCCCAAAAUUGAAUAGAUGUGGUUAGAACCAUCCCUGUUCCUUUACUCAGGGCUGUCUGUGGUCAGUGGCAAACAGUUUAAUAUAGAUCCUAAUGGUAGAGACAACAUCGGUUAGUUUUUGUACAGGAUCCUGUCUUCUUAUACAUUGUUGUAUCUUCAGAAUGAAUUAAUAUGUAAAUCUUAGGCUGUAUAGUAAUCAAUUCAUUCAUUUGAUUCAACAAAUGUUUAUUGAGAGCCUACCAUGUGCCAAGUACUAUUUGAGAUAUUUGGAAUACAUUAUUAAGACACUUGUCCUUGAAGAGAUUACAUUUUGGAAGGAGCGGAGGAACAGGCAAUAAACAUAACAAAGUAUAAAUAUUGUCAGAAGAUAUUAAAUUCCACAAGGAAUAAAACGAUAAGUCAGCAGGAUAAGGAGGAUCAGAGGAAGGGAGACAAGCGAGUUGAGAUACAACAACUUGAAGGCAGUGAAAGAGUUGGCCAAGCGAACACCUGGAAAAGGGCACUCCAAGCAGAUGGCACAGCCACCAGAGAAUAAUUUGGGUCUCAGAUAGUCAAGCAAGGAGGUCAGCGUAGCUGAGGGAGAGUGCCGCAGGGGGAAAAUGGUAGGAGAUGAGGUCAGAGGUUAGCAGGUCAGGUCCAGAGGGACUCGGAGACCAUUUAAGAACUUUGGCUCUUACUCUGCAUGGAUAUAGGGUGCUGCUAACGGGCUCUGAGCAGAGGAGUGACAUGAUCCAAAAUUGGGUUUUGGAAGGAAUCCCUCCGGUUGCUGGGCUGAGAAGAGACGGUCAGGAGUGAGGGUAAGCUGAGAAAGGACCAGGAGGCAAUGGCAGUAAUCCAGGUGAGAGGUAUUUUUCAGAGAUGAAAUCAGCGACCUUGGUUCCCCAUGAGUUAACUUACCGAUGCUAGCUAGCCCAGACUGAAACGACUUUAUACAUAUGCUAAAGAAAUCUAUUUAGAUAGAUACAGCUCUGCCAAUACAUUUCACCUCGAGAAAUGCUCGGGUAUGCUUUUUAAUUCUUACAUUUUGUGAGCAGGUGGUACAAUGAAUGGACACCAACUUCAAACAAACUCCCAUAAGAACCACCAGGACUAACUUACCCGAAAGGAACAUUCAAAUUCACAUCAAUCAAUAACAGCUAAUAAUGGCCUCCGUUAAUUUGUUUUAAUUUUGACCAAGUGAUAAUAUUGCCAUCAUUUUUUUUUUUUUUUUAACAAUCCUUGAUGGAACUGCUACCUCUGUUGAACUCUUGAGUGUAUCUCGUCCCAAAGAGAAUGAUCAACAAAGUCAGUCCUGGAUACACGCUAUACAUUCUGUUAUACCUACUCAUAGCUCAUCUGUGACAUAGCUUCUGAAUUGAAAGCAAAGAAAAAAAAAACAGGAAGAGAGAGAAUAAAAUAUUUGCUCACAUCUGGGAAGAAUUCAACUAAUUUCUUUAGCUGACUAAGUGACAAUGAUGAGUUAUGGCACAACACUGGUAUAGAUAUCUUCAGGAAUACGAACAUGUAUUGGUCAGCAGCUCUACAACGAUGGUGAUACAUAUUUGUGUAGAACCCACAAUAUAUCUGGUUCUUUGGGAGCACAUGAAGGACUGACCUGCAUUUAAACAAUCCAUUAUGGGGGCGCCUGGGUGGCUCGGUCAGGGUGCAGUUAGCUGUGAGGUGACAAAUAAGGACACAACGCACACAGUAAUGGAUAUUAGUGGAUGGGACCAGGAGCCAGGGGACCAGAGAA